GGUAGCGUGUCCGAGCGGCCGAAGGUGCAACACUCGAAAUGUUGUGUGCAGUGACCCUGCACCGUGGGUUCAAAUCCCACCGCUACCGCCA
Molecule: transfer RNA, 91 nt
Filed under: Pseudoglutamicibacter albus
Lineage: Bacteria; Bacillati; Actinomycetota; Actinomycetes; Micrococcales; Micrococcaceae
Also listed under: 3 other names
Description: tRNA-Ser
Rfam family: tRNA
About the family: Transfer RNA (tRNA) molecules are approximately 80 nucleotides in length. Their secondary structure includes four short double-helical elements and three loops (D, anti-codon, and T loops).
Source: RNAcentral